GGUUUACGCUACGAACUGCUUUGCACGACGGUACGCGCAACAGUUGCGUCGAGACGAGACACGAAGAGGAGUUACAGUCGGGCGUACCGUCGCUGGUCGAAUUGUUCUCCAGCACUUCAGCCAACAACAAUCGAAAAGUGCGCGCGUUCGCGGGGUUCUAAUCGAACUCCGAACAUCAAUUUUACAUCGAAUCGGUUGGUCCUCAAUUAUUAAUUAGAAAACCGCGUAAUUUCGAAUGCUGCCUAACACGUCUCGCGUUGCCAUGGAAAUCCGCGAGAAUGACGGCAUCAGUCCUGGACCGAAGAUACUUACAAUUAGAUAAACAACGUACUAAAUAUGUACACUUCCGCCACGAUGACGGAGGAGAAACGACUGUCGUUGGGCAUCAACGUCAGCAUUCUGCUGAUACUGACGAUAUUCGGCGUGCUUCUGUCCUUGCCUUUGCGAUUGUUGUUCGACACGAAUUACUCCGACCAGAAUCGCGAUGAGAGCGGAGCCAGUGGCCCGGGCGGGGGAAGAGAGUCCGUGAUACCGAUGGUUCACCGAAAAUUAAGAUGCUGUCCGAAUCUGCAGUACGAGGCUCGCUUGAUGUCCGUCUUUAUGAGCGAUUACGACGGAAAUUGCACGUACGUGCAGGACGAGUGCGACGAUGACGAGGAUGACGACGAUGAUGACAGCGACUCUGAAGAGGAAGAGGAUAGCAGAGAGGAUAAGGACGAGGAGGAGAGGACGAAGAAGACGUACAGGUCCAAGAGGCGCAUCGGCGAAGAAAUGAAAGAAAGCGCUGAAGAGAUCUUGAAGUCGCGUCAGAUGAAGUCCGUCACGGUGGCAGGCCACAUACUCGUGACGAUGUUGCUCGUAUCAGUAAUAGCCGCCCUCGUUGAAGUACUGCGAAUACGCUUCGCCAGAGAAAAAGAUUCGUCUAGGGCAGGCACGAUUAUUUCGCGGAGAAGCUCAUCCAACGUGGUGGACAUAUCCGCUCCAAGACGUCCCACUUCAAGAGAAUUAAUUAGAAGCCAAAAGUCCUUUGAGAUACCGGGAGGAAUGCACCAUUCCGCAAUGCGUUUAUUAGGAGCGCGGCCGCCCCCGCUUAUCCGUCGCUCUUCGUUUCCAAUACCACAAGCGAAAAAAGCCGCUACUUCGUCUCUUUGUGGUACACCGAGUAAAGGACUGACGCGGCGCCAGUCGGCUGAGUCGGACGAAGAAAUCGGGAUCACUAACGCUCUUCAUCAUCGCACCCGUCUAAUCCGACGACAUUAAAGCUGCACGAGAACAAGUAUACAUCAAUCCAUUAAAUUUUUACGUCGGCGACCAAACUAACAGGGUACGCGUCAUCACUAUACGAUUACACUACGCACAACGAUCACGUCCAAUGACCUUUUUUACGCUCGUGCAACGUCGAAAAACCCUUUUGCUGAGGAACAGAUUUCCGCAACAGCAUCUUCCAAUAACAUCCCUUACAGCGGCUUCAAUAGUGCUCCAUCUCCGCAACGCUUUUAUAUCACGCUGUCCAUUAAGUUCUGCUUUCUUAUAUUUAAAUUUAAAACAAUGAUUAAUAUACAGAAUCAAACAGGAUCGAAAGUCAUCGCGCAAAUCACUGUGGAAAGUUGAAUUACGACAGCACAUACCCGGACUAAUAUAUUUAAUAGAUAAUCUUUAUUUUCCAUAUAGAUCGCACAAUGCUUUAACCCUUAAAUGCGAAAUUUUUCGUAGCAUUCUGAGUAUUUUUAAAAUAAAUAAUAACUAUUUAAGAAAUCCUUGAAAAAUUCUUCUUUACGAAUUUUAACCCUUUUUGUCCUAAUGGAUGUACAUGCAGAGAAGGCUCUUUACAGAUGUGCAACAAAUGCGCACUUAAGGGUUAAAGUCGCACAAUCAAACGAAAGUAUUUGCAUUUAAUCUAAUUUAAUUAGCAGUGAGAUGUUAAUUAAUUAUUAUCGAUCUUCUUCUCGAGCAAUAGAAUAUUUAUACAAAUACGAUAUUGUUUCAAAUGGAUGUUUUAGAAAUGUGUACAUCAGAAGCGAGAUAGCAUUCUUAAAUUCAACUGCAGCUAAAUCAACGAUGUAACUAAGCUUUCGUUUGAAAUAAAGCUAAGAAAGAAUUAUUUUUUUUUAAACACUACUCUGAUGUAAACUUUUCUUGAGGCACCUGACGAUAGAAUAAGUAUAUGUGCACUCUCAAACUGAUCAUAGUACAACGACCAAAUAAUCUCUAAUCGUGUGAUUUCCGUCAUUUUCUUAACGCGUCCAUCAUUUCUUAUCAAUAUGUGUAUUAAUAUCUAAUAUUCAGAAAGAAUUAUAAAGCUCGUUUUGUCUCUACGAAAGUCACGAUGAACUCAUCAAAAUACAGACGAAUAUGCUAGAUUGUAAUUUUGUAACAUUGUAAAUGAGUUUGAAGGAAUAAUUCCUUGAUGUAUUUUCGUAACCGGAAAAUAUAGCUGUGUCUCUCUCUGCAUCGACAGAUCUUUGAUAAGCUUACGCAGCCUCAACGAACUGUGAUCAUCGUAUUUCUUUGUGAUAUGUACAAUCCGGCAUCAUAAAUGCCUUAACACGUCAAGUUGCAUCAAUUGCAAACGUACUCGCGUGCGAAUUGUAUUCAUGCAUUUGUAACUGUGUGUGACAUUGGCACAGUAGCCACUGUCUUAUUCGUGUAAAUAAGAAAAAAGACUUUACAAUAAUUAAAGCUUGCACAACACGGAA
RNA transcript from Temnothorax curvispinosus, 2696 nucleotides. RefSeq lists it as uncharacterized. The transcript has 5 exons. Lineage: Eukaryota; Metazoa; Arthropoda; Insecta; Hymenoptera; Formicidae. The record is from RefSeq and is a predicted model, not a curated record.